GAAGAUAAUAAGUUCAUAAUCCUCCUCAUUGUUUUACUCUUUUUUUGCGGUCUUUCUCGUAAGAUUGCAUUGAUAGAGUCAAACUCCCAUGUGUCUCAUGUUUGUUUGUUGAGUUCUAAUUUUAAUUGGAGCUGUCUUAUGUGCGAUUUGAAGUUCUGUGGUCCAUUAUCACAGUAGCGCUGUAAUUUCUGGAGAUGACUUUUAGGAUACUUUGUGUUUUAUGCUAUUCAAAGCUGCAAGAAUAUUGUUCCAUAUUAACGAGACAAAAAUCCUCUCUGUUUCUUGUGCUUUUGUUAAAUUUUAUUGCAAUUGAACUGAGCAUGCACUUUAUGGAAUAUUUGUUUGCCAUCAUAAGUGUGGGUUGGGUAUUAAUUU
Molecule: unclassified non-coding RNA, 375 nt
Filed under: Hevea brasiliensis (rubber tree)
Lineage: Eukaryota; Viridiplantae; Streptophyta; Magnoliopsida; Malpighiales; Euphorbiaceae
Source: RNAcentral